CUCUGGGAGGCGGAGCAUGCGCAGGACAGCCCUAGGAAGCACGCUUUGCGGGUGUGUGGGCAAUGCUCCGCUGGGCGCGAGCGUGGAGGGUCCCCCGUGGGACACUUGGUGCCUCCUCUCCCAGGUGCUCGGUGGUGCCUGUAGCGUUCAGUAGCCGAAGUGGCCAAGGAAAUGCCGAUCCCAGGCCGUUGCCGCUGUCCUAUACGCUUCUAGAUGGAGAGGAAACACUCCCAGCCGUCGUCUUUCUGCACGGACUCUUCGGCAGCAAAACCAACUUCAACUCUAUCGCCAAGGCUAUGGUUAAGAGGACCGGCAGGAGGGUGCUGAUGGUGGAUGCCCGGAACCAUGGUACCAGCCCCCACAGUCCAGAUGCAAGCUAUGAGGCCAUGAGUCAGGACCUUCAGGGACUCCUGCCACAGCUGGGCCUGGUGCCCUGUGUCCUCGUUGGUCACAGCAUGGGAGGAAAGACAGCCAUGCUGCUGGCACUACAGAGGCCAGACAUUGUGGACCGAUUGGUGGCUGUAGACAUAAGCCCGGUAGGAGCCACACCAGGAUCAUACCUUGGGAACUUUAUAGCAGCUAUGAAGGCCGUCCAUAUCCCAGAGAAGGUGCCGCACUCCCAGGCUCGGAAGCUGGCCGACGAACAGCUAACCUCCCUUGUCAAGGACCCAGGGAUUCGCCAGUUCCUACUCACAAACCUGGUGGAGGUAAAUGGCCGCUUCUCCUGGAGGCUGAACUUGGAUACUUUAGCUCAGCACUUGGACAAGAUUUUGACCUUCCCAGAGCUACGUGAAUCCUAUCGAGGGCCAACUCUCUUUCUGCUUGGUGGAAAUUCUAGAUAUGUUCAACCCAGCCACCACCCGGAGAUUAGGCGGCUCUUUCCUCAAGCCCAGAUCCAGACUGUGCCCAACGCUGGGCACUGGGUCCACAGUGACAAACCUCAAGACUUCAUGGAUGCUGUCUGCAGUUUCUUGGCAUAAGAAGUGGCUCCUUGAACAGUCGGGGAACUCUAGGCGUGGUGUCCAUGCCACCUGUCCCUUGCUUCUGCACAGAAAAACUAAGAGCACCCCUGGAGUCUCCCUGCAUUUGACUCUGCACCCGCUCCCGAACCAUCCGUUGCAUGUCUUCCUGGGUAGAGGAGAGAGAACUGGUUCAAGGGGAUCCCUGAGGACUCAGGAAUGUCUUCCAAGCUCCCAGCACAGAGAUAGCUCAGUGGCUAAGUGCCCUUGUUGCAGCAUCCAUGGAAGAUGGCUCACAGCUGCUUGUAAUUCCAGCUCCAGGGGAUCCCAUGCCCUCCUCUGGGCACACAUGAACUAAGAAAUUACUAUACAGGCUGGUCUAGGGUUUGGCUGCCACCAUCUGCAAGGCUUCUGAAGGGAAAGCAGCUGGACAGUGGAGCUGCUUACCCUGGCUAUCCUGGAACUUACCCUAUAGACAAGUCAGGUUUGGAACUCAGGUCUACCUGCCGCUGCCUCUGAGUGCUGAGAUUAAAGGCACGAACUGCCACCGCCCUGACCUGAAGGUGGCAGAAGCCCCAACGGAGACCCCAUUGCCCUGGUGUGUGAGAGGCCCAGGCACUUGGCAUUUCCCAAGGUUUCUUUAAAAUAUCCGCUCAUCUGAUCCUACACAUGUUUUCUACCCACUCUAUUGACACUUCUGGAAUGAAGGGACACAGGCCUGUAAUCCCAGCACUGGGGAGGUAGAGGCCAAAGGAAAAGGAGGGUCAUUCUUGGUUAUCAAGCAAGUAACCAAGGCAAAGGCCAUGCCAGGCAUGGUGGCACAUAUUUUUUUUGUUUGUUUGUUUGUUGUGUUUGUUUUUCGAGAUAGGGUUUCUCUAUAUAGCCUUGGCUGUCCUGGACUCACUUUCUAGACCAGGCUGGCCUUGAACUCAGUGUUCUCCCUGCUUCUGCCUACAUGCUCGGCUGUGGUGCACAUCUUUUAUGCCAGCAUUCAGGAGGCAGAGGCAGGCAGAUCUCUGUGUUCAAGGCCAGCCUUGUCUACAGGACAAGUUCCAGGGCAGCCAAGGCUACACAGAGAAACCAGAAAAAAAGGGAGGAAGGAAGGGAGGGAGGGAGGAACAGAGGAUGGAGGGAAAGAAAGAAAGAGAAAGGAAGGAAGGAAGAAAAAAGAAAAGAAAAAGGUAGAGGCUAGCCUCAGGUAAAUGAGACUCCAUCUCUACUGAUAGCUUUCCCAUGAAGCUGUGAUAGAGACCUCAAAAAAAAAAAAAAAAAAAAAAAAAAAACAAAACAAAGCCCACAAAACAACAACAACAAAUACCCACACUCAGUCCAAUUAUCCUUUACCCUGCCUGAUUUCCCUCCUUCUGUCCUGUGAGAUACUCACCCUAAGUAGCCUUGGCUGUUCUGGAACUCCCUAUGUAAAUAAGGCUGACUUUAAACUUGCUCUAUCCACCUGCAUUUGCCUUCCCAGUGUUAGGAUUACAAAUGUGAGCCACACAGAGCUUUCUUUUAAUUUUAAGUAUAUGUGUAUUUUGUCUGAUGCCCAUGGAAGCCAGAAGAGUUGUCAGAACCCUUGAGCUAACUUUCUGGGAGAUGAGAACCAAACCCAAGUCUUCUGAAAGAACAGCAGGUAUCCAUCCAUUCAUCCAUCCAUCUAACCAUCUGUCUGUCUGCCCAUCCAUCCAUCCAUCAUCCAUCUAACCAUCUGUCUGUCUGCCCAUCCAUCCAUCCAUCCAUCCAUCAAUCAUCCAUCUAACAUCUGUCUAUCCAUCCAUCCAUCUAUCUAUCCAUCCAUCCGUCUGUCUGUCCAUUCAUCCAUCCAUCAUCCAUCUAAACAUCUGUCUAUCCAUUCAUCCAUCUAUCUAUCCAUCCAUCCAUCUGUCCGUCCAUCCAUCCAUCCAUCAUCCAUCUAAACAUCUGUCUGUCUAUCCAUUCAUCCAUCUAUCCAUCCAUCCAUCUGUCUGUCCAUCCAUCCAUCCAUCCGUCUGUCUGUCCAUUCAUUCAUCUAUCCAUCAUCUAUCUAACCAUCUGUCUGUCUAUCCAUCCAUCCAUCCAUCCAUCUGUCUGUCCAUCCAUCCAUCUAUCCAUCCAUCCAUCCGUCUGUCUGUCCAUCCAUUCAUCUAUCCAUCAUCCAUCCAUCCGUCUGUCUGUCCAUCCAUUCAUCUAUCCAUCAUCUAUCUAACCAUCUGUCUGUCUAUCCAUCCAUCCAUCCAUCCGUCUGUCCAUCCAUUCAUCCAUCCAUUCAUCCAUCCAUCCAUCCAUCCAUCCAUCCAUCUAUCUUCAUGACAGGGUUUCUCUGUCAUGAAGGUAGGGCUUCCCUGGGUAGUCCUGGCUGUUCUGGAACUCACUCUGUAGACCUUCGAAUUCAGAGAUCCACCUGCUGAGUGCUGAGAUUAAAGUCGUGUGCCACCUC
RNA transcript from Meriones unguiculatus (Mongolian gerbil), 3372 nucleotides. It is a transcript of the gene named abhydrolase domain containing 11, with no coding region annotated. The transcript is spliced from 9 exons. The record is from RefSeq and is a predicted model, not a curated record. Lineage: Eukaryota; Metazoa; Chordata; Mammalia; Rodentia; Muridae.